CUACGCACUCCUACGGGAGGCAGCAGUGGGGAAUAUUGCACAAUGGGCGCAAGCCUGAUGCAGCCAUGCCGCGUGUAUGAAGAAGGCCUUCGGGUUGUAAAGUACUUUCAGCAGUGAGGAAGGUGGAUAUGUUAAUAGCAUAUUCAUUUGACGUUAGCUGCAGAAGAAGCACCGGCUAACUCCGUGCCAGCAGCCGCGGUAAUACGGAGGGUGCGAGCGUUAAUCGGAAUUACUGGGCGUAAAGCGCAUGCAGGUGGUUUGUUAAGUCAGAUGUGAAAGGCCCGGGGCUCAACCUCGGAAUUGCAUUUGAAACUGGCAAACUAGAGUACUGUAGAGGGGGUAGAAUUUCAGGUGUAGCGGUGAAAUGCGUAGAGAUCUGAAGGAAUACCGGUGGCGAAGGCGGCCCCCUGGACAGAUACUGACACUCAGAUGCGAAAGCGUGGGGAGCAAACAGGAUUAGAUACCCUGGUAG
RNAcentral lists this ribosomal RNA (472 nucleotides) under uncultured bacterium. RNAcentral describes it as "bacterial SSU rRNA". It matches the Rfam family "Bacterial small subunit ribosomal RNA", at positions 329 to 793 of the family's 1533-position model. The record is from RNAcentral.